GGGGAUUUAGCUCAGUGGCAUAAGCGCCUGCCUUGCAAGCAGGCAGUCAUGAGUUCGAUACUCGGUACCCA
RNAcentral lists this transfer RNA (71 nucleotides) under Cavia porcellus (domestic guinea pig). It matches the Rfam family "tRNA". Rfam says of the family: Transfer RNA (tRNA) molecules are approximately 80 nucleotides in length. Their secondary structure includes four short double-helical elements and three loops (D, anti-codon, and T loops). The record is from Rfam by way of RNAcentral. Lineage: Eukaryota; Metazoa; Chordata; Mammalia; Rodentia; Caviidae.